CCUCCCUCAGUCUGAGUUCUUUCCAGAAGGGCAGAGGGUGAUGCUGGAAAAGGAAGCCAAGCUCCAGGAACAAUGAAGUUUUCUCACCAACAUUCAAAUUUUACCAGGGAAGUCUGUGCUCGCCUCAGAAGGAGAGCACUUGGAGCUGUCAAAAUGUCAAGAUGGCUGGUGUCCGAUUCGAUGGUUUUGGCCACUUGGAGCUUCCUCUGCACCUCCUGGCUCUCCAGAGUCGUCACAAUUUUGCUGGGGGCAAAACACAGUGAGCUCUCUGGGAAAUUGAAUAUAGUGACUUGAGAGAAACACUCCACUCCUCGCCUUCUGGACAAGGAGGCUCCAUCUACAAGCUCCAUCCAGAUCAACAGCAUCCCAGUCACUUACUCGUUGUGACCAGCUGUUCAAAGGAAAUUCGAGAUUCAGAAGCUUUUGAAA
Peromyscus maniculatus bairdii (prairie deer mouse) is the source of this 429-nucleotide non-coding RNA. NCBI's taxonomy places the organism in Eukaryota, Metazoa, Chordata, Mammalia, Rodentia, Cricetidae. The record is from RefSeq and is a predicted model, not a curated record.